Molecule: long non-coding RNA, 368 nt
Organism: Dipodomys ordii (Ord's kangaroo rat)
Lineage: Eukaryota; Metazoa; Chordata; Mammalia; Rodentia; Heteromyidae
Exons: 3
Source: RefSeq, a predicted model, not a curated record
AAGAAAUAACUUUAUUUACUUAUUGUGCCUCAUUCACGAGAGUUAUGGUUUGGAUAAGAAUUUCCUACACAGGCUCCUGUGUUGAUGCUUACUCUCCAGGCGUGGUGCAUUUUCAAGGGCUCUGGAAACUUGGGGAGAUGGGGGCCUAGCUGAAAUAGUUCAUGGGCACUACUGGGCCUUGAACUCGGGUCUUAGGUGCAGUCCAUCCCUGAGCUUUUUCACUCGAGCCGGCACAUUACCACUUGAGCAAUGGCUCCACUUCCAGCUUUUGUUUCAGUUGUCAAUGGAAGGUAAGUCUCAAGGCUUUUUCUGCCCUAUCUAGAUUUGAACUCUCAAAGCCUCCCGAGGAGCUAGAAUAUCAAGCAUGA